Molecule: unclassified non-coding RNA, 264 nt
Filed under: Hevea brasiliensis (rubber tree)
Lineage: Eukaryota; Viridiplantae; Streptophyta; Magnoliopsida; Malpighiales; Euphorbiaceae
Source: RNAcentral
CCAUGCUCAUUGAAUGAAUCAAAUUGAACGGCCCUGAACACUUGAUGAACUCCCAUUCUCAGCUUUUCAAUUUCGUCCAAUAAGAAUUCUAAUUCCACCUGCUGCUCAAGAUUCUCAGUCUCCAACUCUGAUAUAAGUUUAUUCGACAAUUUUGAUGCCUCAACAUGUUUUUUGCAUUCAAUCAACAGAGACAAAUUCUUCUCUUCCAAAUCUUGUAUAAACUUCUGCAAGAUGAAGAUCUCAAACUGAGCAUUUGCAGCCUUG